Oncorhynchus tshawytscha (Chinook salmon) is the source of this 747-nucleotide long non-coding RNA. Lineage: Eukaryota; Metazoa; Chordata; Actinopteri; Salmoniformes; Salmonidae. The record is from Ensembl.
CCCAGGCGGAGGUAUUCGGCGGGGUUGACUGGAGUUCAGCUGCACAGUGUGGUGCCUGCAGCCGCCUGCCACCAGGCCCACUGGCCCUGCGCUGUAGCAUGGAGACCCAGGACCCAAACAUUUGGCCGGGAACAUUCCAGAGCCUAGGCCCUCUCUUUCUCUCUCACUCUCUCUCUCUGUGUCACUAAACAGCCCACCGUCCCGUUGUACCCCAGCCAACAGACAACAGCACAGCUUACAACUGGGGCUCACUACAACCUUGAUGGAUACCCUUCCCCUAACCAUGGUGUUCGAAGAGGGUGUAUUGGGAGGAGGAUUCAUCAAUAAAUACCCUGGAACAAUGUUUGUGGUGCACUCACUCAUGACACUUUUCUAAGUGAUAAAUCAUCUUCAAGCUUAAUAAGGUAGAUAAGCAAAUGCAUGUAAUAUUCUCAUACAUGUAGCCUGUACAUGAAUUCUUUGUGACAAUUGCUUUAAACUAGUACCUAGCUCAUCUUGACCAUGUGUUAUACCUUCUCUCUUUCAUAAGCAAUCAGUCACAAGGGAAAAAAAUACAGAUUGAGCCCUUCAAUCAAACUGAGGACAGAGAAAUAUGUGUGCACCAGUUCAUGCAUUCAACAAGCGUUGAACGAAGGACUUCCACGGGUCCUCCGUCUCCAAAGACAAUAGUGCUGUGACCUGGGUUUGAUUUUGUUUUUGUUUGUUUUCAUUAUUUCAGUUUUGUUCGGUCUCUUUUUAACAUCCAUG